AAAACUCCGAGGCAGCACAGAGAAAACGUGAGAGAUAACUAAAAAUAAAAUAAAAAUCCUUCAACUUAAAGGAAUAAAAGAAAAAAGAAGACGUAUUGACUCGGUUUAGAGAGGAGAGAGAGAGAGGCUCUAGAGUCAAAUCACAGAACGUGAGAAGAUUAAAGAGAGCGACGAAAACCCUAAAACAAAAGACUUUUAUGGAGAACACAAGUGCGCCCCUUGCCUAUCUCUAUAGUUUAUUAGUGAUGUAUUGGAAGGGCAUUAACUGCUACAUCUCAACACGUGAACGACAUGCAUCUUAAACUCUUUCUCUUUAUUUCAUCUUUUUGCUAUUUGCCCAUCAUACUUUUCUCUUCUGUAUGUAUGUAUGUAGGUGGUUCUUGUAAUUUUAACUAUUUAUUAACGACCGAGUCUUUCUUCUUCUUCUUUUUUGUUUGGCAGAAGACAAAACUUCCGACUUGACCUGAUUUUUCCAGAUUCGAUUUGAUUUGAAAACCUUCCAUUGCAGACUUGCAGUCUUACAAAUCAACUUAAACUAUAUAGUUCUUGAUCACUAGGUUUGUUGUAUAUUCGUUACUUCGCUGAUUGUAAUAUGAAAAGUUUAUUGG
This 608-nucleotide long non-coding RNA is filed under the name Capsella rubella. RNAcentral describes it as "long non-coding RNA (CRUB_LNC001943)". Lineage: Eukaryota; Viridiplantae; Streptophyta; Magnoliopsida; Brassicales; Brassicaceae. The record is from RNAcentral.